CGAGAGUAGCUGCCGCGCCUGAGGACCGAGAGGAGCCGCCACCGAGAUCCGAGACUAGCCGCUGCGGCUGAGGACCGAGAGGAGCCGCCGCCUCCAGGUUGCGACUGUGACACACCGCCGCCUCCAGGUCGCCGCCGAGGUCCGCAAUCGCCGAAGCCGGCCGGCCCUCACCUCCAUCGACCUCCUUUCGGAUGGAUCCUGCACGUCGCUAGAUCGACGGAAGGGGACCUCCACCACCGCCGUUCUUCUCCCUCCCCGACCUCCCGUCACCGUGCUCCCCGGAUGUGGCCGUGGCCACAACCGGCGGAGCUUCCCGGCCACUGCCGACGACGCCAUCGAGGUGCAUACAAGAUGAAUCUUCAAGACAUGCUAUCUUGCUUCGUAAGUACUGCUAUUUAAGGGCCGCCGCCGCCGUCGUCCGUAGCAACGCAUAGGCCGCUUGCCCAGCUCCCUCAUUCCGAGCACGACACCGGACGUCGGAGCUUGUCGGGAGGCACGGAAGGACGAACAGAGUUCUACCGGUGAUCUGUGUUGUCGCUGACGGUGUCAUAGGAUCUGCGGUGCACGUGGACAAGGCAAUGGGGCUGCCAACCUACCUCCUCUUCAUCACAGCGCAUGUGGAUUCUUGGGCUACCUCAACUUGGAUCAGCUUUUUCAAGAGGGAAUGCUUGCCAU
This is a long non-coding RNA of Triticum dicoccoides, 675 nucleotides long. RefSeq lists it as uncharacterized. The transcript is spliced from 4 exons. NCBI's taxonomy places the organism in Eukaryota, Viridiplantae, Streptophyta, Magnoliopsida, Poales, Poaceae. The record is from RefSeq and is a predicted model, not a curated record.